This 497-nucleotide ribosomal RNA is filed under the name uncultured bacterium. RNAcentral's name for it is "partial 16S ribosomal RNA". It matches the Rfam family "Bacterial small subunit ribosomal RNA", at positions 28 to 507 of the family's 1533-position model. The record is from RNAcentral.
GAUGUACGCUGGCGGCGUGCCUAAUACAUGCAAGUCGAGCGAACAGACGAGGAGCUUGCUCCUCUGACGUUAGCGGCGGACGGGUGAGUAACACGUGGAUAACCUACCUAUAAGACUGGGAUAACUUCGGGAAACCGGAGCUAAUACCGGAUAAUAUAUUGAACCGCAUGGUUCAAUAGUGAAAGACGGUUUUGCCGUCACUUAUAGAUGGAUCCGCGCCGCAUUAGCUAGUUGGUAAGGUAACGGCUUACCAAGGCAACGAUGCGUAGCCGACCUGAGAGGGUGAUCGGCCACACUGGAACUGAGACACGGUCCAGACUCCUACGGGAGGCAGCAGUAGGGAAUCUUCCGCAAUGGGCGAAAGCCUGACGGAGCAACGCCGCGUGAGUGAUGAAGGUCUUCGGAUCGUAAAACUCUGUUAUUAGGGAAGAACAAAUGUGUAAGUAACUAUGCACGUCUUGACGGUACCUAAUCAGAAAGCCACGGCUAACUACGUG